GUUGGUGUAGCUCACCGGUAGAGCACAUGCUUAGCAUGCAUGAGGUUCUGGGUUCAAUCCCCAGUACCUCCA
Molecule: transfer RNA, 72 nt
Filed under: Camelus bactrianus (Bactrian camel)
Lineage: Eukaryota; Metazoa; Chordata; Mammalia; Artiodactyla; Camelidae
Also listed under: 2 other names
Rfam family: tRNA
About the family: Transfer RNA (tRNA) molecules are approximately 80 nucleotides in length.
Source: Rfam by way of RNAcentral